RNAcentral lists this ribosomal RNA (450 nucleotides) under uncultured bacterium. RNAcentral's name for it is "bacterial SSU rRNA". It matches the Rfam family "Bacterial small subunit ribosomal RNA", at positions 354 to 796 of the family's 1533-position model. The record is from RNAcentral.
GUGGGGAAUAUUGGACAAUGGGCGAAAGCCUGAUCCAGCCAUGCCGCGUGUGUGAAGAAGGUCUUCGGAUUGUAAAGCACUUUAAGUUGGGAGGAAGGGCAGUAAGUUAAUACCUUGCUGUUUUGACGUUACCGACAGAAUAAGCACCGGCUAACUUCGUGCCAGCAGCCGCGGUAAUACGAAGGGUGCAAGCGUUAAUCGGAAUUACUGGGCGUAAAGCGCGCGUAGGUGGUUUUGUAAGUUGGAGGUGAAAUCCCCGGGCUCAACCUGGGAACUGCCUCCAAAACUACUGGGCUAGAGUACGGUAGAGGGUAGUGGAAUUUCCUGUGUAGCGGUGAAAUGCGUAGAUAUAGGAAGGAACACCAGUGGCGAAGGCGACUACCUGGACUGAUACUGACACUGAGGUGCGAAAGCGUGGGGAGCAAACAGGAUUAGAUACCCUUGUAGUCC